This 408-nucleotide ribosomal RNA is filed under the name Mandarina ponderosa. RNAcentral's name for it is "partial 16S ribosomal RNA". The record is from RNAcentral. Lineage: Eukaryota; Metazoa; Mollusca; Gastropoda; Stylommatophora; Camaenidae.
AGUUUUGAGCUAAAUAUAUUAUAAUAUUAGUUAUUUAUAAAGGUGUUGUAAAACCUUAUUAAAAAUUAUAUUUAGGGGUGAUAGGCCUUUCAAAAACUAAGAUAUCUUGAAUCUAAUUAAAAGUAUGUAGUACAUUUGACACAACUAUUAAGUGAUUAGGCUUUAUAGAAUUAUUAACUUAUAAAGAUUUUAUUUACUAUAAUUUAAUAAUUAAGUAUGUAAAUAUAUUAAUAUAUAUAUAUUAUAAUUUAUAAAGAGUAAUUAGAUAAAUUAAAGUUCAUAAAUUUUUGUAAUAAUGUUAAUAUUAGUAUUAAGCUUAUAUUUAUAUGAUGAACUCGGCAAAAAUGCUUCUCAACUGUUUAUCAAAAACAUAACUAUGUGAAUUAAUACAUAGCGGUUUCUGCUCAA